Molecule: ribosomal RNA, 1503 nt
Filed under: uncultured organism
Description: bacterial SSU rRNA
Rfam family: Bacterial small subunit ribosomal RNA
Source: RNAcentral
UUGAUCCUGGCUCAGAACGAACGUUGGCGGCGUGGUUGAGGCAUGCAAGUCGAGCGAGAAAGCCCGCUUCGGUGGGUGAGUAAAGCGGCGGAAGGGUGAGUAAUGCGUAGACAACCUGCCCUGGAGUAGGGGAUAGCCUUCCUAACGGAGGGCUAAUACCGCAUAAGACCACGCGAUCUUCGGAUCAUGGGGUAAAAGAUAGGGAUCCUUCGGGACCUUUCGCUUCAGGAGGGGUCUACGUCGCAUCAGGUAGUUGGUGAGGUAACGGCUCACCAAGCCAGCGACGCGUAGCCGGCCUGAGAGGGUGACCGGCCACAUCGGGACUGAGACACUGCCCGGACUCCUACGGGAGGCUGCAGUUCGGAAUAUUCCGCAAUGGACGAAAGUCUGACGGAGCGACGCCGCGUGCGGGAUGAAGGCCUUCGGGUUGUAAACCGCUGUCACUUGUUAGGAAAUCCAUCGGGGUUAAUAGCUCCGGUGGUUGACAAAGGCGAGAGAGGAAGCACCGGCUAAUUCCGUGCCAGCAGCCGCGGUAAUACGGAAGGUGCAAACGUUGUUCGGUGUCACUGGGCAUAAGGGCGCGUAGGUGGCUGAGCAUGUCGGGGGUGAAAGCCCCUCGCUUACCGAGGGAAUUGCCUCCGAAACUGCUUAGCUUGAGAGCCGGAGGGGUGGCCGGAACGUUGCAUGUAACGGUGAAAUGUGUAGAUAUGCAACGGAACGCCGGAGGUGAAGACGGGCCACUGGACGGUUUCUGACACUGAGGCGCGAAAGCGUGGGGAGCGAACAGGAUUAGAUACCCUGGUAGUCCACGCCGUAAACGAUGGGCACUACGUAGGGGGGGUUCUACAGCCUUCCCUGCCGCAGCAAAUGCGUUAAGUGCCCCGCCUGGGGAGUAUGGUCGCAAGGCUGAAACUCAAAGGAAUUGACGGGGGCUCACACAAGCGGUGGAGGAUGCUGCUUAAUUCGAAGCAACGCGAAGAACCUUACCCGGGCUUGAACUGCACGGAUGCCCCAUCCGAAAGGAGUAGGGCUGCCUUCGGGUGAAACGUGUAGAGGUGUUGCAUGGCUGUCGUCAGCUCGUGUCGUGAGAUGUCGGGUUAAGUCCCUUAACGAGCGAAACCCUUGUCGCUAGUUGCCAGCAGUUCGGCUGGGCACUCUAACGAGACUGCCGGUGUCAAACCGGAGGAAGGUGGGGACGACGUCAAGUCAUCAUGGCCCUUACGUCCGGGGCUGCAAGCGUCCUACAAUGGUCGGUACAAUGGGAAGCGAGAUCGCGAGAUGGAGCAAAUCCCUAAAAGCCGGCCUCAGUUCGGAUUGUGGGCUGCAAUUCGCCCACAUGAAGUCGGAAUCGCUAGUAAUCGCGCAACAGCAUGGCGCGGUGAAUAUGUUCCUGAGCAUUGUACACACCGCCCGUCAAGCCACGAAAGCCGGGGGGACGGUAAGACCUGCAUCUAACCUUCGGGAGGAAAGGGUCCAUCGUCAACCUGGUGAUUGGGACUAAGU